GGGCGCGAGCGCGCGGGGGACGUAGGGCGCCGACCUGGGCCUCCCCGGCGCUCCGGCUCCGCUCAGGGCGCCCGCUCAGGGGCCUCCGGCGCGAGGCCCCCUUCGUGGUCAAGAUGGCGGCGCCCAGGCGGGCCGCGCCGAGGUGAGCUGGAGCCGGGCCCGGAGAGGGGUGAGUCGGCCACUCCCAGGACUUGGACCCCGGGCUGGUCUCCCGUCUCCCGGGGAGCGGUGGGUUGAUGGGCGCUACGGGAUAAGGAAAAGGAUGUGAAGCUCACUGAAGAGGCUUGGGUUGGGAGUGCUGGAGGAGUGUACAGGUGGGGAAAAUGUACCAGCGUGUAUGCCUACUGGGACCACGUUUUCCAGAACAGUUAAGCCCAGUGUCAACUGUGCUGUCCCACCUUCCUCUCUUAGUGAGAAGAGAGCAGGCUGAAUGGAAGAAAGUCAUUAUGACCACUGGGGCCACUAAGGGGUGUCCAGAGAAGGUAACUACUUUGCCCACGUCCUAAACUGGCUGCAGGUUCGUAGUUCCUGCUGUUUUUGGUGUCUGCCCCCAAUGGCUAAGGUCCCUGUUCGAGUGCCACUUGCCGCGGACCAGCCGGAGAAAGAGGAUCUCACCGCCCAGGGUCAGAAGGGAAGGGGACAUUUCAUCUUGACAAUCUGCACAUCUGGGAGACUAUCAAGAAAUGCUUUGAGGUCGAUGCCAUUCAGCACAAUCCGAUUGUCAUAAAUGUGCCCAUUGGACUUAAAAUCGAUGACUGCCUUCUUCUUCAGCUGCAUGCAGUGUCUCUCAGCUGCCUCAAAAUCUCCUGCCUGAUAUUCUCGAUGUGCCAACUCAGCUAACCCUUGGAAGGAAAGCAUACGUUUCGUUGGUUCUGUGCUGUCGGCCACGUUGCCCACAGAAGACGCCAUCUGGAGCUUCUGGAGAGAGUGAGAAAAAGGGGAAUAACUUCCAGUACUCAUACUGACUACUCUACUGACUUAACUAGCACAAGACACAGAAGCAUAAGGACAAACACCACCUUACAAUAUAGCCAUGUCUUGCACUUCACAGCUCUCAAAGCAUGUGCGUUUGAAGAAGAAAAAAAGAACUGAAAAGUACAAAACCAGAAGCUAAUCUGUGGAAAAUUAUUUCAAUCAUCAGGCAUGUGAAAGAUAAGUCAAAGAUUCAGUUCUCAUCAAUGCUUAGUCAAAACGGAAAUUUUCUUCUGUCAAGAAUAUACUCCAGGGGCUUCCCUGAUGGCGCAGUGGUUAAGAAGCCACCUGCCAAUGCAGGGGACAAGGGUUCGAGUCCUGGUCCGGGAAGAUCCCACAUGUCACGGAGCAACUAAGCCAGUGUGCCACAACUACGGAACCUGCGCUCUAGAGCCCGUGAGCCACGACUAUUGAGCCUGCGAGCCACAACUACUGAAGCCUCCGUGCCUAGCGCCCGUGCUCUGCAACAAGAGAAGCCACCGCAAUGAGAAGCCUGUGCACCGCAACGAAGAGUAGCCCCCACUCCCUGCAAGUAGAGAAAGCCUGCGCACAGCAACGAAGACCCAACACAGCCAAAAAUAAAUAAAUAAAUAAAUAAAUGAAUGAAUGAAUGAAUAUACUCCGUCAACAAUGUGUGUAAUGGAAUGGUGUGAAUGAGUAUUUUAUCAGAAUCCCUGUAAAGCACAAACCUAUAGCAGUACUGAAAUCAGUAAUGCAUUUAUAAUAGUAAAUACUUAUGAGGAAGUAAUCCAUAGAGGUUUUCUCAAAGUUAACAAUGAAAAUUAAUGUGACAUUAUCAAUAAUAAAUUGUGAAGCUGAAAUAAACUUUUCUAAACUAUUAAUAACUAGAAGCAAAUUCUAAUCAACCAUGGUACAAGAAAUCUAUGUCUAAAAACUACAAAGUUUAUUUCUUAAAAUUUUAUUUCGAAAAUACAUAAACUGUCGUAUGAGGAGGCAGUUAAAGAAUAUAUAGCUAAAAGAGUGGGGAAAAAGUUUUAUAGAGACACAUCUGGCAGUAGUUAAUUUUUAAAUGUCAUUUUUCUAGAUUUUGUGACACCUAUAGUAUUGAUAUUUGAAAGCAUUUAAAAAAUUGUAAUUUGAAGAUUUGCUACUUCCAGGUAGAAUAAAAUAUUUUGAAGCAAAACAACGUUUCCACUGAGAAAAACAAAAAAAGCCAAAUAAAAUAGCCAGCAUUCAAUCAAAAACGGACUUGAGGAUAUGGGGAGGGGGAAGGGUCAUCUGUGACAAAGUGGGAGAGAGGCAUAGACAUAUAUACACUAACAAACGUAAGGUAGAUAACUAUUGGGAAGCAGCCGCGUAGCACAGGGAUAUCAGCUCGGUGCUUUGUG
Non-coding RNA from Globicephala melas (long-finned pilot whale), 2321 nucleotides. Lineage: Eukaryota; Metazoa; Chordata; Mammalia; Artiodactyla; Delphinidae. The record is from RefSeq and is a predicted model, not a curated record.